RNAcentral lists this ribosomal RNA (188 nucleotides) under uncultured bacterium. Its description in RNAcentral is "partial 16S ribosomal RNA". It matches the Rfam family "Bacterial small subunit ribosomal RNA", at positions 335 to 526 of the family's 1533-position model. The record is from RNAcentral.
ACUCCUACGGGAGGCAGCAGUGGGGAAUAUUGCACAAUGGGCGAAAGCCUGACGCAGCGACGCCGCGUGAGGGAUGACGGCCUUCGGGUUGUAAACCUCUUUCAGUACCGACGAAGCGCCGAUGAUGGUGGUGACGGUAGGUACAGAAGAAGCACCGGCCAACUACGUGCCAGCAGCCGCGGUAAUAC